Molecule: transfer RNA, 58 nt
Filed under: Lobesia sp. FRA-2014
Lineage: Eukaryota; Metazoa; Arthropoda; Insecta; Lepidoptera; Tortricidae
Description: tRNA-Met
Source: RNAcentral
UUAAAAAUAAGCUAAACUAAGCUUUUGGGUUCAUACCCCAAAUAUAAAGGAAAUCCCU